UACGAGGGGGGCAAGCGUUGUUCGGAAUUAUUGGGCGUAAAGGGUGCGUAGGCGGUUUGGUAAGUCUUAUGUGAAAUCUACAGGCUCAACUUGUAGUCUGCAUGAGAAACUGCCGGGCUUGAGUAUGGGAGAGGUGAGUGGAAUUCCUGGUGUAGCGGUGAAAUGCGUAGAUAUCAGGAGGAACACCUGUGGCGAAAGCGGCUCACUGGACCAUAACUGACGCUGAGGCACGAAAGCUAGGGGAGCAAACAGG
This 253-nucleotide ribosomal RNA is filed under the name uncultured bacterium. RNAcentral describes it as "partial 16S ribosomal RNA". It matches the Rfam family "Bacterial small subunit ribosomal RNA", at positions 524 to 776 of the family's 1533-position model. The record is from RNAcentral.